This 836-nucleotide ribosomal RNA is filed under the name uncultured Bacillota bacterium. RNAcentral describes it as "bacterial SSU rRNA". It matches the Rfam family "Bacterial small subunit ribosomal RNA", at positions 1 to 848 of the family's 1533-position model. Lineage: Bacteria; Bacillati; Bacillota. The record is from RNAcentral.
GCCCUUUAGAGUUUGAUCAUGGCUCAGGACGAACGCUGGCGGCGCGCCUAACACAUGCAAGUCGAACGGAAUCAAGAGGAGCUUGCUUUUCUUGAUUUAGUGGCGAACGGGUGAGUAACGCGUGAGUAACCUGCCCUGGAGUGGGGGACAACAGUUGGAAACGACUGCUAAUACCGCAUAAGCCCACGGUACCGCAUGGUACUGAGGGAAAAGGAUUUAUUCGCUCUAGGAUGGACUCGCGUCCAAUUAGCUAGUUGGUGAGGUAACGGCCCACCAAGGCGACGAUUGGUAGCCGGACUGAGAGGUUGAACGGCCACAUUGGGACUGAGACACGGCCCAGACUCCUACGGGAGGCAGCAGUGGGGGAUAUUGCACAAUGGGGGAAACCCUGAUGCAGCGACGCCGCGUGGAGGAAGAAGGUUUUCGGAUUGUAAACUCCUGUCGUUAGGGACGAUAAUGACGGUACCUAACAAGAAAGCACCGGCUAACUACGUGCCAGCAGCCGCGGUAAAACGUAGGGUGCAAGCGUUGUCCGGAAUUACUGGGUGUAAAGGGAGCGCAGGCGGACCGGCAAGUUGGAAGUGAAAUCCAUGGGCUCAACCCGUGAAUUGCUUUCAAAACUGCUGGCCUUGAGUAGUGCAGAGGUAGGUGGAAUUCCCGGUGUAGCGGUGGAAUGCGUAGAUAUCGGGAGGAACACCAGUGGCGAAGGCGACCUACUGGGCACCAACUGACGCUGAGGCUCGAAAGCAUGGGUAGCAAACAGGAUUAGAUACCCUGGUAGUCCAUGCCGUAAACGAUGAUUACUAGGUGUUGGAGGAUUGACCCCUUCAGUGCCG